Molecule: ribosomal RNA, 241 nt
Filed under: uncultured bacterium
Lineage: Bacteria
Description: partial 16S ribosomal RNA
Rfam family: Bacterial small subunit ribosomal RNA
Source: RNAcentral
CGACCGGCGCACGGGUGAGUAACGCGUAUCCAACCUGCCUUACACUCUUGGACAGCCUUCUGAAGGGAGAUUAAUACAAGAUGUUAUCAUGAGUAAGCAUUUUCACAUGAUUAAAGGUUUACCGGUGUAAGAUGGGGAUGCGUUCCAUUAGAUAGUAGGCGGGGUAACGGCCCACCUAGUCUUCGAUGGAUAGGGGUUCUGAGAGGAAGGUCCCCCACAUUGGAACUGAGACACGGUCCAA